UACGUAGGGUGCGAGCGUUAAUCGGAAUUACUGGGCGUAAAGUGUGCGCAGGCGGCCGAGCAAGUCGAGUGUGAAAGCCCCGAGCUUAACUUGGGAACUGCGCUCGAAACUACUUGGCUAGAGUGUGGCAGAGGGAGGUGGAAUUCCACGUGUAGCGGUGAAAUGCGUAGAGAUGUGGAGGAACACCGAUGGCGAAGGCAGCCUCCUGGGCCAAAACUGACGCUCAUGCACGAAAGCGUGGGGAGCAAACAGG
This 253-nucleotide ribosomal RNA is filed under the name uncultured bacterium. RNAcentral's name for it is "partial 16S ribosomal RNA". It matches the Rfam family "Bacterial small subunit ribosomal RNA", at positions 524 to 776 of the family's 1533-position model. The record is from RNAcentral.